RNAcentral lists this non-coding RNA (26 nucleotides) under Mus musculus (house mouse). Lineage: Eukaryota; Metazoa; Chordata; Mammalia; Rodentia; Muridae. The record is from RNAcentral.
UCCACUUGUUAGAAAUUGGAGCCUCA